GUUUCCGUAGUGUAGUGGUCAUCACGUAUGCCUAACAUGCAAUAGGUCCCCAGUUCAAACCUGGGCGGAAACA
Molecule: transfer RNA, 73 nt
Filed under: Danionella translucida
Lineage: Eukaryota; Metazoa; Chordata; Actinopteri; Cypriniformes; Danionidae
Also listed under: 1 other name
Rfam family: tRNA
About the family: Transfer RNA (tRNA) molecules are approximately 80 nucleotides in length. Their secondary structure includes four short double-helical elements and three loops (D, anti-codon, and T loops). Further hydrogen bonds mediate the characteristic L-shaped molecular structure. tRNAs have two regions of fundamental functional importance: the anti-codon, which is responsible for specific mRNA codon recognition, and the 3' end, to which the tRNAs corresponding amino acid is attached (by aminoacyl-tRNA synthetases). tRNAs cope with the degeneracy of the genetic code in two manners: having more than one tRNA (with a specific anti-codon) for a particular amino acid; and 'wobble' base-pairing, i.e. permitting non-standard base-pairing at the 3rd anti-codon position.
Source: Rfam by way of RNAcentral